GACGAACGCUGGCGGCGUGCUUAACACAUGCAAGUCGAACGGAAAGGCCUCUUUCGGGGGGUACUCGAGUGGCGAACGGGUGAGUAACACGUGAGUAACCUGCCCUUGACUUUGGGAUAACUUCAGGAAACUGGGGCUAAUACCGGAUAGGAGCUCCUGCUGCAUGGUGGGGGUUGGAAAGUUUCGGCGGUUGGGGAUGGACUCGCGGCUUAUCAGCUUGUUGGUGGGGUAGUGGCUUACCAAGGCUUUGACGGGUAGCCGGCCUGAGAGGGUGACCGGCCACAUUGGGACUGAGAUACGGCCCAGACUCCUACGGGAGGCAGCAGUGGGGAAUAUUGCACAAUGGGUGGAAGCCUGAUGCAGCAACGCCGUGUGCGGGAUGACGGCCUUCGGGUUGGAAACCGCUUUCGCUCAUGACGAAGCUUUGUGUGACGGUAGUGGGUAAAGAAGCACCGGCUAACUAUGUG
Molecule: ribosomal RNA, 467 nt
Filed under: uncultured bacterium
Lineage: Bacteria
Description: partial 16S ribosomal RNA
Rfam family: Bacterial small subunit ribosomal RNA
Source: RNAcentral